RNAcentral lists this ribosomal RNA (484 nucleotides) under uncultured bacterium. RNAcentral's name for it is "partial 16S ribosomal RNA". It matches the Rfam family "Bacterial small subunit ribosomal RNA", at positions 29 to 507 of the family's 1533-position model. The record is from RNAcentral.
AUUGAACGCUGGCGGCAUGCUUUACACAUGCAGGUCGAACGGCAGCGCGGGCUUCGGCCUGGCGGCGAGUGGCGAACGGGUGAGUAAUACAUCGGAACGUGCCCAGUAGUGGGGGAUAGCUCGGCGAAAGCCGGGUUAAUACCGCAUACGACCUGAGGGUGAAAGCGGGGGAUCUUCGGACCUCGCGCUAUUGGAGCGGCCGAUGGCAGAUUAGCUAGUUGGUGGGGUAAAGGCCUACCAAGGCGACGAUCUGUAGCUGGUCUGAGAGGACGACCAGCCACACUGGGACUGAGACACGGCCCAGACUCCUACGGGAGGCAGCAGUGGGGAAUUUUGGACAAUGGGCGAAAGCCUGAUCCAGCAAUGCCGCGUGUGUGAUGAAGGCCUUCGGGUUGUAAAGCACUUUUGGCGGGAACGAAAAGGACUGUGCCAAUACCACGGUUCGAUGACGGUACCCGCAGAAUAAGCACCGGCUAACUACGUG